RNAcentral lists this ribosomal RNA (460 nucleotides) under uncultured bacterium. RNAcentral describes it as "partial 16S ribosomal RNA". It matches the Rfam family "Bacterial small subunit ribosomal RNA", at positions 338 to 795 of the family's 1533-position model. The record is from RNAcentral.
CCUACGGGGGACUGCAGUGAGGAAUAUUGGUCAAUGGACGAGAGUCUGAACCAGCCAAGUAGCGUGAAGGAUGACUGCCCUAUGGGUUGUAAACUUCUUUUAUAUGGGAAUAAAAUGUUCCACGUGUGGGAUUUUGUAUGUACCAUAUGAAUAAGGAUCGGCUAACUCCGUGCCAGCAGCCGCGGUAAUACGGAGGAUCCGAGCGUUAUCCGGAUUUAUUGGGUUUAAAGGGAGCGUAGGUGGAUUGUUAAGUCAGUUGUGAAAGUUUGCGGCUCAACCGUAAAAUUGCAGUUGAAACUGGCAGUCGUGAGUACAGUAGAGGUGGGCGGAAUUCGUGGUGUAGCGGUGAAAUGCUUAGAUAUCACGAAGAACUCCGAUUGCGAAGGCAGCUCACUGGACUGCAACUGACACUGAGGCUCGAAAGUGUGGGUAUCAAACAGGAUUAGAGACCCUUGUAGUC